AUGGAGCUUGUGGAUGCAACAUUGUUAUUCUUCUGCAAUGUUAUUUUACUGAAGAGUGUGCCCAGGACAAAUUUCAAAUGCAUAAGGAACCAUCUCCCUUCAAAUGGGUUAGACAAGGAGUUCCCGUCUCUCCUCUUCUAUUUCUGUUGGCAGCUGAUCUUUUUUACCAAACAAUUCUCAACGAUGAAAUGUAGUAAGGAACCAUCUCUCCUUCAAUCAGAUUUGCCACCUAACCUAAUUUCCCAAUUGUUCAACAUGCAGAUGUCAUUCUCAUUGUCAUGCAGGCAUGCUCUAUCCAACUUACUAAUUAAGAUCAAUAUAUUGAUUGAUAAAUUUUCUAUGGCUUCUGAACUAAAUGUUAAUUAUGAAAAAUCCAGUAUGAUUCCUAUUAAUGUACGUGAUAGUGAAGCACAUGUGCUUUCUGUUAUUUUAGGAUGUCAAAUUGUGUAA
This 450-nucleotide ribosomal RNA is filed under the name Triticum aestivum (bread wheat). Its description in RNAcentral is "partial small subunit ribosomal RNA". Lineage: Eukaryota; Viridiplantae; Streptophyta; Magnoliopsida; Poales; Poaceae. The record is from RNAcentral.